AGCACAUGGGAGUCUGUAUCAGUGAGCAUUUAGACAUUAGGUGCAUCUGGUGUCUAAAUGCUCACUGAUCCAGACUCCCACGGG
Molecule: non-coding RNA, 84 nt
Organism: Podarcis lilfordi (Lilford's wall lizard)
Lineage: Eukaryota; Metazoa; Chordata; Lepidosauria; Squamata; Lacertidae
Source: the annotation of a GenBank genome assembly